UGCGUAGGCGUCCGAGAAAGUUAUUUGUUAAAUCCUCCGGCUUAACCGGAGACCUGCAAGUAAAACUACUCGGAUAGAGUUUAAGAGAGGAAAUGGAAUUCCUGGUGUAGCGGUGACAUGCGUAGAUAUCAGGAGGAACAUCUAUGGCGAAGGCGGUUUUCUGGCUUAAAACUGACGCUGAGGCACGAAAGCGUGGGGAGCAAACA
RNAcentral lists this ribosomal RNA (206 nucleotides) under uncultured bacterium. RNAcentral describes it as "partial 16S ribosomal RNA". It matches the Rfam family "Bacterial small subunit ribosomal RNA", at positions 568 to 774 of the family's 1533-position model. The record is from RNAcentral.